CAUAGAGGCGAUGUCUGAGGAGCAGGAUCUAACACAGGAGCAGACAGAGAAGCUGCUGCAGUUUCAGGAUCUAACUGGCAUAGAAUCUAUGGAUCAGUGUUGCCAUACCUCGGAGCAGCAUAACUGGAGCAUAGAGAUUGCUGAACAGGACAGCUUGGAUGAACAAAAGAGUGUAUGGAGUGUUUUCAACCCGCCUCCAUCCCUACCCCUGCAAGUUAAUACAGCUGACCACAGGAUCUACAGCUAUGUUGUCUCAAGACCACAACCAAGGGGUCUGCUUGGAUGGGGUUAUUACUUGAUAAUGCUUCCAUUCCAGUCUACCUAUUACACAAUACUUGAUAUAUUUAGGCUUGCCCUUUGUUUUAUAUGGCUUCACCUUUGCAGCCGGAUCACUGACACUGUUGGGGACAUAGUUUCAUUUAUGCUAGCAUUUGAAUAGAAAUAUGGGAGGGCACACCCUGUUUUCUAGCCCAGAACACAUAGCCAGGCACCUGACAAUGCCAAGCUGGAGCUUCACUCUUUGAUUUGUCUUCUUGGAGAUGAUCAACAGGUCUCUGAUAAGUUUUGUUGCAACACACUCUGUGAACCCAAAGUUAUUUCAUUAAAGUUCUUUCUCUAGGAUGCUCUUCUGGGCAUGUUCUACAAACAAACCUGAGGGAUAUAGGGUCUCCUGGGGUUUAUGAGAGAACACCUAUCCAUUCCUGGCCAUGGUGAUGCUGAAGGAUCAGCAGAUGACUGU
Rhinopithecus roxellana (golden snub-nosed monkey) is the source of this 739-nucleotide RNA transcript. It is a transcript of the gene named FAS-associated factor 2 pseudogene, with no coding region annotated. The record is from RefSeq and is a predicted model, not a curated record. NCBI's taxonomy places the organism in Eukaryota, Metazoa, Chordata, Mammalia, Primates, Cercopithecidae. The transcript has a single exon.